RNAcentral lists this ribosomal RNA (489 nucleotides) under uncultured bacterium. RNAcentral's name for it is "partial 16S ribosomal RNA". It matches the Rfam family "Bacterial small subunit ribosomal RNA", at positions 30 to 507 of the family's 1533-position model. The record is from RNAcentral.
AUUGAACGCUGGCGGCAGGCCUAACACAUGCAAGUCGAACGGUAACAGGAAGAAGCUUGCUUCUUUGCUGACGAGUGGCGGACGGGUGAGUAAUGUCUGGGAAACUGCCUGAUGGAGGGGGAUAACUACUGGAAACGGUAGCUAAUACCGCAUAACGUCGCAAGACCAAAGAGGGGGACCUUCGGGCCUCUUGCCAUCGGAUGUGCCCAGAUGGGAUUAGCUAGUAGGUGGGGUAACGGCUCACCUAGGCGACGAUCCCUAGCUGGUCUGAGAGGAUGACCAGCCACACUGGAACUGAGACACGGUCCAGACUCCUACGGGAGGCAGCAGUGGGGAAUAUUGCACAAUGGGCGCAAGCCUGAUGCAGCCAUGCCGCGUGUAUGAAGAAGGCCUUCGGGUUGUAAGUACUUUCAGCGGGGAGGAAGGGAGUAAAGUUAAUACCUUUGCUCAUUGACGUUACCCGCAGAAGAAGCACCGGCUAACUCCGUG